CACGUGCAUGAUCUUACUUACUUAGCUAGCUACCUACACAGUUCUCUUUAGGGAUGGGAUCUAUUAGAAGCUAGUAGGGGUAUUUAUUUUUAUUUUCUCAGAAGUACUGAGUUAGGUAGCAGGAUUUAGAAAUGUGGAGCUAAUGUUGUAAACCGUCAUUGACCACACACUCCAGCACAGUAGGUGGCAGAAUGCAACUUUAACGUUUGCGUUUAAACGUUUAACGUUAACGGACCGCCAUUACAUCAUAGAAGAACAAGAAUAAUAAGAAGAUUUAUCUUUGUUUUAACAUUUAUUCAGUGCCAUACCAUGACGUCGAUUGAGGCUUGGUUCAUGGACGAUUCUGACGAAGAUCAUAGGAUGCCACAUAAACUAAACCCAAACGAACCUGUGUCUUUGAAGGAGUUAGAAAAUAUUGGGGUUUUCUACUGGAAGUUAGAUGCUGAUAUUUAUGAAACAGACCCUGCGCUGGAAAAGAUCCGUAAAGACAGAGGCUACUCCUACUCCGACAUCAUCACUAUUGACAAGGACAAACUACCUAACUACGAGGACAAGCUGAAGAUGUUUUUUGAGGAGCACCUCCACCUGGAUGAUGAGAUCCGCUACAUCCUGGAUGGCAGGGCCUAUUUUGACGUGAGGGACAGGGAGGACCGCUGGAUCCGCAUCGCUAUGACCAAGGGAGACCUGAUCACUCUGCCUGCAGGCAUCUACCACAGAUUCACUCUGACUGAGACCGUAUGGCUCCAUUUGUCAUUUGGCUGUCUACAACACGUACAGUAAAACUGUCCAACAUGGAGGGGAUUCGAUUAUCUGGCCCGGGUUUCCCUGGUCGAAGGCGAAAAGCGAUUGCAUUAGUUUUGGAACCAGGCUUCCUCCCAGGCGUGAGCCAGGUGCCCCGCUCGUGGCCGAUGGUUAAAACUACACUCAAGCCAUGAGACUGUUCGUGGGGGAGCCUGUAUGGAAAGCCUACAAUCGUCCAGCAGAUGAGUUUGAUAUUCGCCAGAAGUAUGUGAGCGCUCUCCAAUGUGCUUAAGACGAGCAACAGGUGGUACUGGAUGGAGUGUCCAUAGAAUUACACGAUUUAGUGGAGUUGGAUAAUCAGACUCAUGACAGGCUUUUGUAUUAUCAGGUAUUUAAACCCAUGCAGUGCCUACAUUGUAAGCAAUUAUACUAAUUAACACCACUUUCUAUGAUUUGUCUUUAUAUUGUAGAAUGUAUUGCUCCACUCAAGGUCGCAUUCUAUUUUUGUAACUACAUCAGUGAGAAUCAAGUCUAGUAAGCUGUUUGUUACCUACAGUGAGCUAAAAUGCCAGUAAGCUAUCACAUUAAAUCAUUUGUCUAACUUUU
Molecule: RNA transcript, 1347 nt
Organism: Salmo salar (Atlantic salmon)
Lineage: Eukaryota; Metazoa; Chordata; Actinopteri; Salmoniformes; Salmonidae
Gene: adi1
Gene name: acireductone dioxygenase 1
Source: RefSeq, marked provisional